This 483-nucleotide ribosomal RNA is filed under the name uncultured bacterium. RNAcentral's name for it is "partial 16S ribosomal RNA". It matches the Rfam family "Bacterial small subunit ribosomal RNA", at positions 28 to 523 of the family's 1533-position model. The record is from RNAcentral.
AGUGAACGUCGGCGGCGUGGAUUAGGCAUGCGAGUCGAGCGAGAACCGUAGCAAUACGGGGACAGCGGCGAAAGGGACAGUAAUAUGUAGGUACCUACCCUCGGGUCCGGGAUAGCUGCGGGAAACUGCAGGUAAUACCGGAUGACAUCUCCGGAUCAACGGUGUGAGUCCGCCCGGGGAGGGGCCUGCAUCCUAUUAGCUUGUUGGUGGGGUAACGGCCUACCAAGGCGACGAUGGGUAGCGGGUGUGAGAGCAUCGACCCGCGUCAUUGGGACUGAGACACUGCCCAGACACCUACGGGUGGCUGCAGUCGAGAAUCUUCGGCAAUGGGGGCAACCCUGACCGAGCGACGCCGCGUGCGGGAUGAAGGCCUUCGGGUUGUAAACCGCUGUCGUAGAGGAGGAAAUGCAGGGGGGUUCUCCCCUCUGUUUGACCUAUUCUAGGAGGAAGGACGGGCUAAGUUCGUGCCAGCCGCCGCAGUAA